This 468-nucleotide ribosomal RNA is filed under the name uncultured bacterium. RNAcentral describes it as "partial 16S ribosomal RNA". It matches the Rfam family "Bacterial small subunit ribosomal RNA", at positions 28 to 507 of the family's 1533-position model. The record is from RNAcentral.
GACGAACGCUGGCGGCGUGCUUAACACAUGCAAGUCGAACGGAAAGGCCCUGCUUUUGUGGGGUGCUCGAGUGGCGAACGGGUGAGGAACACGUGAGUAACCUGCCCUUGACUUUGGGAUAACUUCAGGAAACUGGGGCUAAUACCGGAUAGGAUCUCCUGCUGCAUGGUGGGGGUUGGAAAGUUUCGGCGGUUGGGGAUGGACUCGCGGCUUAUCAGCUAGUUGGUGGGGUAGCGGCUUACCAAGGCUUUGACGGGUAGCCGGCCUGAGAGGGUGACCGGGCACAUUGGGACUGAGAUACGGACCAGACGCCUACGGGAGGCAGAAGUGGGGAAUAUUGCACAAUGGGCGGAAGCCUGAUGCAGCAACGCCGCGUGCGGGAUGACGGCCUUCGGGUUGUAAACCGCUUUCGCCUGUGACGAAGCGUGAGUGACGGUAAUGGGUAAAGAAGCACCGGCUAACUACGUG